RNAcentral lists this ribosomal RNA (253 nucleotides) under uncultured prokaryote. RNAcentral's name for it is "partial 16S ribosomal RNA". It matches the Rfam family "Bacterial small subunit ribosomal RNA", at positions 524 to 776 of the family's 1533-position model. The record is from RNAcentral.
UACGUAGGGGGCAAGCGUUGUCCGGAUUUAUUGGGCGUAAAGAGCGUGUAGGCGGCCUGGUAGGUCAGUUGUGAAAACUCGAGGCUCAACCUCGAGACGCCGAUUGAAACCAUCAGGCUCGAGUCCGGAAGAGGAGAGUGGAAUUCCCGGUGUAGCGGUGAAAUGCGCAGAUAUCGGGAAGAACACCCGUGGCUAAGGCGGCUCUCUAGUACGGUACUGACGCUGAGACGCGAAAGCGUGGGGAGCGAACAGG